RNAcentral lists this ribosomal RNA (253 nucleotides) under uncultured bacterium. RNAcentral describes it as "partial 16S ribosomal RNA". It matches the Rfam family "Bacterial small subunit ribosomal RNA", at positions 524 to 776 of the family's 1533-position model. The record is from RNAcentral.
UACGUAAGUUGCGAGCGUUGUCCGGAAUUACUGGGCGUAAAGGACGCGUAGGCGGUCUGAUAAGUCAGCAGUGAAAUCUCUAGGCUCAACCUGGAAACUGCUGUUGAAACUGUCAGACUAGAGUACCGGAGGGGAAAGCAGAAUUUCAUGUGUAGCGGUGAAAUGCGUAGAGAUGUGAGAGAAUGCCAGCGGCGAAAGCGGCUUUCUGGACGGUAACUGACGCUGAGGCGUGAAAGCGUGGGUAGCAAACAGG